GACAGAGGGUGCAAACGUUGUUCGGAAUUACUGGGCGUAAAGCGCGUGUAGGCGGCUCUGCAAGUCGGAUGUGAAAUCCCACGGCUCAACCAUGGAAGUGCAUUCGAAACUGCAGGGCUAGAGUCCUGGAGAGGAAGGUGGAAUGCUUGGUGUAGAGGUGAAAUUCGUAGAUAUCAAGCGGAACACCGGUGGCGAAGGCGGCCUUCUGGACAGUGACUGACGCUGAGACGCGAAAGCGUGGGGAGCGAACAGG
This 253-nucleotide ribosomal RNA is filed under the name uncultured bacterium. Its description in RNAcentral is "partial 16S ribosomal RNA". It matches the Rfam family "Bacterial small subunit ribosomal RNA", at positions 524 to 776 of the family's 1533-position model. The record is from RNAcentral.